Molecule: non-coding RNA, 138 nt
Organism: Citrus sinensis (sweet orange)
Lineage: Eukaryota; Viridiplantae; Streptophyta; Magnoliopsida; Sapindales; Rutaceae
Source: Rfam
GUUGAUGGGAAUGUUGUUUGGCUCGAGGGUCAUCUAGGUUUUCAAAAUUUUCUCGGACUUUCUUUCUUGCUUUUAUUUUUCCAGGAAAAUUAUGUUAUUUGCCUAUGUGAUCUCGGACCAGGCUUCAUUCCCGUCAAC